This 700-nucleotide ribosomal RNA is filed under the name uncultured bacterium. Its description in RNAcentral is "bacterial SSU rRNA". It matches the Rfam family "Bacterial small subunit ribosomal RNA", at positions 43 to 737 of the family's 1533-position model. The record is from RNAcentral.
GGUGCCUUANCAUGCAAGUCGAACGGCAGCACGGGGGCAACCCUGGUGGCGAGUGGCGAACGGGUGAGUAAUACAUCGGAACGUGUCCUGUAGUGGGGGAUAGCCCGGCGAAAGCCGGAUUAAUACCGCAUACGAUCUACGGAAGAAAGCGGGGGAUCCUUCGGGACCUCGCGCUAUAGGGGCGGCCGAUGGCAGAUUAGCUAGUUGGUGGGGUAAAGGCCUACCAAGGCGACGAUCUGUAGCUGGUCUGAGAGGACGACCAGCCACACUGGGACUGAGACACGGCCCAGACUCCUACGGGAGGCAGCAGUGGGGAAUUUUGGACAAUGGGGGAAACCCUGAUCCAGCAAUGCCGCGUGUGUGAAGAAGGCCUUCGGGUUGUAAAGCACUUUUGUCCGGAAAGAAAACUUCUGCCCUAAUACGGCGGGAGGAUGACGGUACCGGAAGAAUAAGCACCGGCUAACUACGUGCCAGCAGCCGCGGUAAUACGUAGGGUGCGAGCGUUAAUCGGAAUUACUGGGCGUAAAGCGUGCGCAGGCGGUUCGUUAAGACAGAUGUGAAAUCCCCGGGCUUAACCUGGGAACUGCAUUUGUGACUGGCGAGCUAGAGUAUGGCAGAGGGGGGUAGAAUUCCACGUGUAGCAGUGAAAUGCGUAGAGAUGUGGAGGAAUACCGAUGGCGAAGGCAGCCCCGUGGGCCAA